CGGGGGAUCUUCGGACCUCGCGCUAUAAAAUGAGCCUAUGUCGGAUUACCUUGUUGGUGGGGUAAUGGCCUACCAAGGCAAGGAUCCGUACCUGGUCUGAAAGGACAAUCACCCACACUGGRACUGAAACACGGCCCAAACUCCUACGGGAGGCACCAUUGGGGAAUCUUGAACAAUGGGGGGAACCUUGAUCCAGCAAUGUCGCGUGUGUGAAAAAGGCCUUCGGGUUGUAAASCACUUUCACCGGGGAAAAAAUUCUCAAGGGUAAUAUCCUUGACCAUUGACGUUACCUACAAAAAAACCACUGGCUAACUCUGUGCCACCACCCGCGGUAAUACAAAAAGUGCAACCGUUAAUCGAAAUCACUGGGCGUAAAGCCCGCGUAGGUGGAUAUUUAAUUCGAAUGUGAAACCCCUGGGCUUAACCUGGAAAUUGCACCCAAUACUGGAUAUCUCAAUUAUGGUAAAGGGAAUUGAAAUUUCCGGUGUAUUGGUGAAAUGCGUAAAUAUCGGAAAAAACACCAUUGGCAAAGGCGGCUUCCUGGACCAAUACUGACACUGAGGCGCAAAAGCGUGGGGAGCAAACAGGAUUAAAUACCCUGGUAUUUUACGCCA
This 614-nucleotide ribosomal RNA is filed under the name uncultured Coxiella sp. RNAcentral's name for it is "bacterial SSU rRNA". Lineage: Bacteria; Pseudomonadati; Pseudomonadota; Gammaproteobacteria; Legionellales; Coxiellaceae. The record is from RNAcentral.